CGUUCUAUGGCCAAAUUGGUAAAGGCAUCGCCGAUCACAGGCGAAGGAUGCGGGUUCGAGUCCCGCUGGAACGG
This 74-nucleotide transfer RNA is filed under the name Operophtera brumata (winter moth). It matches the Rfam family "tRNA". Rfam says of the family: Transfer RNA (tRNA) molecules are approximately 80 nucleotides in length. The record is from Rfam by way of RNAcentral. Lineage: Eukaryota; Metazoa; Arthropoda; Insecta; Lepidoptera; Geometridae.